Molecule: long non-coding RNA, 1223 nt
Filed under: Felis catus (domestic cat)
Lineage: Eukaryota; Metazoa; Chordata; Mammalia; Carnivora; Felidae
Description: lncRNA (ENSFCAG00000053640.1)
Source: RNAcentral
GUAAUGAAAUCCUUCAGUGCGGACUGUGGAUACAUCGUCAGAGCACAGAGAGAGUGAAAUGUAGCGUAAACACACCCGUGUAGCCUGCAACGAUCAACUAGGCACCGCUUCAAAGGUAACAAAGACCUUACCAAGACACCCGAAAGGAGGAACGGAUCUAUGAAAGCUGAUUGCCACUGCUUUUUUUAAUCGCAGCCAAGUUUGGCAAGACCGUUUCACAAAGGUGGCCGUAAGAUCACUGCACGCCGACCGUGCGAUAAGUCCUUUUUACAAACCCUGACUUCCCCAUUGAUUCCCCCCUUUAUGGAAUAUUCCAUCAGAAGUUUCAAAUGUGCGCAGCCCUUCACGGUUCCCCGCAAUGUGUCUGCAUUACAGCUGUGGACAGAUGGCUUAGGAGCCACUGGAACAGCCAGUUCGGUUCGUAUUUAAGUCCAAAGUUCUUUACAAAACGCCCCCUGUAUUCCAGCAGGUACCACGGUCUGCCAGAUAUCCCAAGCCAGCAAAGAGCGGGUUGCCAGGAGUCACCGGAGUGGGCUGGAGCUGCUCUUCUGGGCGUCUCGUACCCGUGGUGGAAAAAUCCAGGGCUCGGAAUCAGGCUCAGAGUUGCUGCUGUGUCCUCGCCCAUCACCACGUGUUGCAUUACCGUGCCACGUAAUAAACAUUUGCGGAAGGUCAUACGGCUCCCCAGAUGCUCUGCGUGGGCUCGGUUCACCCGCCCCUGCCUCCGGAAGCUCCCGGGUAUUUCUGGACCUGACCUCACACGCAGAGGCCUUGGUUCCAGAAGCCUCCUUGUCGGCACCAUUCACGGGACACCCGACAUUACACUACGUUUUGCUCUUUCAUUUAUCUUUGCCUUACUUCUCCUAGAGAAGUAAGAUCCUAGAGGGUACGACCUGUGUGUCAUACUUUCUUUACCCCUUGAAACACCACACACGCCUUCAUACAACGUCGGUGCUUUGCACUAUUGCAAAGGCCUCGGUGGUUUGUAUUUCAGCUGCUUAGAUGUGCGUAAUAACCACACACAGGGCCUUAAAAGGAUAUAAAAUAUUCCAGCUGAGAGAUGCACAAUAGAUGACAUUAUUUCAUUCUUAAAAUGCAAAAAUGUAAAAUGAGGGAUCACCAAAUGCUAGAGAGUGUUUUUAGCAAAAGUCUCAGGAGAGAGUUUCUGCUUCUUAACCCCGGACACACAAAUAAACACACAAAUGGUGCUACGGAGAUCGUCA